GUGAGUUUUUGAGCCGAUUGAAAGUGUGUGCAUUUUUCAUACACUCCUAUUCUGUCAUGUGUGAUGAACUUAUGUGAGAUACAUCUCUAGAACUUGCGUAACGAUCUUUGGAAAUGUUUGUCAUUGAUUGCAUGAACUUGGAAAUGAUAGAGGCAUUAGGUUUACCAUUAUGGCCCAAAUAACCAUGUUUCCCAAAGAAAAAUGAUAUCAUUAGAUUGCCAAUUUGAGCCGUGUAUGUUGAGCCUUUUAUUUCUUAUCACCAGAUAUGUCUACCCUUAUGCCUGAAACAUUUUUUCCUUACCCUUUCCAAGCAAGCUAGUGAGCAAUGUGAAAAUGUCUUAUGAGAAAUGUUUGUGAAGUACUUUGAAGGUGUUUGGCAAAAGAAUAAGUGUGGGGGUAUUUCAUGUUU
Molecule: long non-coding RNA, 409 nt
Filed under: Malus domestica (apple)
Lineage: Eukaryota; Viridiplantae; Streptophyta; Magnoliopsida; Rosales; Rosaceae
Description: long non-coding RNA (MDOM_LNC010616)
Source: RNAcentral